Long non-coding RNA from Dermochelys coriacea (leatherback sea turtle), 1508 nucleotides. RefSeq lists it as uncharacterized. The record is from RefSeq and is a predicted model, not a curated record. The transcript is spliced from 3 exons. NCBI's taxonomy places the organism in Eukaryota, Metazoa, Chordata, Testudines, Dermochelyidae.
AGCUAGAGGACCACGGAGGGUGCUCCUGGCUGGCUGAAGAAGCUGCAGCACCAGGAACAGGCAGUUGCUGGCAAGGGCUGGGGAAGCAGGAAGGAACUCCUGACUGGCUACUGGGACUUAAGCUGGAAGAACCCUGAGGAGUUAAAGAUCUAAAUACCUUUGGGGAUCUGGACCUUAGUACUUGAGAACUCUCAGUGAAAUGAAUGGGAGCAACCAAGGAGUAUGUUACAAGUCAGCAGGAGUGAAGGUGGCAGAAUUUGUUCCAAAAUGGUUUGGCCGGUGCAUACCAGGCUGUUUGCAAAGGGUGAGAUCUGAUCCUUGUCUGGUUUCCUUACUCACCUCUGUGCCAGGACUCUGGUAAGGGGUUUGGGCAGCCCUAUGACUUGCUGGGUUCAUCAGUCUCAGAAAACUAUGACAGAAAGGACAUGAACAUUGACUCGCCUCUACUGCGUGUCCCUGGAGAAUAACACUAUGCAAGGCGCUUCUUGUUGCUAAAAGCAUCAGAGGGAAAAGGAGAGACAUGAUGGAGUAACGUAUUUAAAAGCUUCUCCAUCCUCAAAGAGCAUCCAAGGGGAGCUCCUUGCACCAUGUUCCCUGCUCACUCUGGUUGCUGAACGAGCAUCCUUAGACAUUGAUUUCAAAGGAGCAAAGAUGCAAGGCUGCUUUGCUGUCUCCUCUACUGACAGGACACCCGUGAGAAGAAGCUGCAUUGUGCUCUGAAUAUGAUACAACUCGCACUCGCUGUGAUCUCAGGCAGCCAGAGUUUGCAACCAAAGACAAACAUACUCAUAGCUAUCUGCUCUGGGCUGUUUCCUAUAUCAGUGUGAAACACAGCAGUUUCAGUUCCCAUAGCUUUCAAUAACAUUUUGGGGAGAGAGGCUGAUUCCUAUUGGCCUGCAUACCUUCUGAAUUUUGCACUGUUUGUCCCAAAAUUAAAAGCAACGUUCAACUGAAACCUCAAAGGUUCAUUUUGUUUUGAGUCAAAACAAACGCGGAGGGGUUUGCCUGGAACACAACUGCUCCACUUAAAAUGUUUGUGAACCUUCAAAAAAACCUUAUUCAGGGUUUGGGUUCUGAAGGAAAUCCAGAACCAAGACCAGGAGUUGGUAUUUUAUUCUGAAUAGAGUGGCCUGAAAAAUGGAAAAAACAAUUUUGCUUAAAAAUUUCCCAGGUGUUUCCAUUUUGCAGGGUUAGAAAUGAAACAAUUUUUGGUUUAUUUUUUUCAAUAUCUAUGAUUUUUUUUUAAAGUUUCAAAAUUUCCAUUUUCCUCCUUCCUCGCUUUUUGCCACAAAGUGCAUUCAAGUGAUAGUGUCCAGGGUUCAGUUUUGUCUUCCUUUUCUUUUCCUUUGUUUCCGGUCUUUUUUGAAAAGUUCUCCAACUUCGGAACUGUGGCAGGAUUACGGCAUUCCAGUUGUCUUGCUGUGCCCACCAUGUUUCCACCGCUGAUGUCCUUGUUUAAAGUUGCAGAGUGGAAAACAGGAAACCAGGAACAAAAAGGAAAAUAACCU